Molecule: long non-coding RNA, 2093 nt
Organism: Bombina bombina (fire-bellied toad)
Lineage: Eukaryota; Metazoa; Chordata; Amphibia; Anura; Bombinatoridae
Exons: 2
Source: RefSeq, a predicted model, not a curated record
GGAAACGCCUCUCUACCAAAGGUAAAGGAUACUCUUCAGCUCUGCUGUCAUUUCUACAACUAAUGCUUAGGAGUGUGUAUGUGGCUACAGCGACAGGAAUAUUCAUUCUGAUCACUGUCAUUAUCUCAGAAAAUAUAUCUCAGUCCCACACACCGAUCAUGAGACCAGCAACAUCCUUAAAGAAGGUCGCUCACCCUUCAGAGAAGGAAGUUAUUGCAGAGAUGGUCAAACAGCUAAGAGUUAUCGGAGAUAAACUCAAUAUGAAGCAGAAGAUUCUAAAUCUUUUUUCUGAAAUGAUGACUCCUAAAACAUGAUUUCCUGGUUAAAAGUCAUAGAACAGCAGAAAAAAGUUACUGAAAAUUAAUUCCGUGUUUGAGCAAAUACUAAAAAUAAAAAAGAUUAAUCUUUAUGCGACAAAGGCUAACUUGGAAUGGUUGGAAGAAGACAACCAAAUCGAUCCUUGACUGCAUUAAAAGGUGUCAUAUUAAGCAACGGAGGACCAUGGAUUGGUUUGAGACAGACAGUGCAAGUAGGAGGGGCUUUUUCUUAAUGGAGGUUUAUCUUUUAAGAAAAAGAAUUAUAAAGACCUCGUCAUCAUCAGCCCAAUCUGUUGACGUUUAAUUGAUUUAUUACAAUAAGGAACUGGACCUAUUAAAACUGACUUACAAUUUGAACCUGAUCUUUCCAAUCUGGAGAAUAAUUCAUAAUAAUUUAUAUAUUAUUACUUCAUGGUGUUUGUUAUCAUACCCAUGGUUUAAUGGUUUGAUGAUCCAAUAAGUCUGUUUUAAACUGUACACACUGCAUAUGGAAAAAUGUAAAUUGCAGAACAUAAACCAUGUACAUAUCACAUGUACAUAUUUAGGAUUAUGUGGAUUGAUGCCUAUAAAAUAAAGCUUUAUACUGUUAAAACAUGUUUUGUAUAUACAAAUGCUCUGGAAGCCAUAAUGCAGAAAACAUUGUCAUAUAGUUAAUCAUGUGAUGUAGUUACAUUGUGAUAUUUUGUGUUCUAUCUAUUUAUUUAUCUAUCAAUAUAUAUGCUUGUCCAUCUAUCUAUCUAUCAAAUGGAUCUUCAGUUUUAGAUCUAUAUAAAUCUUAUAUUAGUAAUUAUCUGUGUAACAGUUGUUUAUAGUUCUUUGGCUUUUGCUAAAAAUUCAGAUAAUUGCUGUGUUCUCUUUUUUUUACCCUUCAUUCCUACAAUUUCAAGCACUGCCUCAUUAAACAGUAUUUGCAUGGCAGGCAGUAGAGGAAAACAAUGUUCUUGUAGUUUGAACUGCCUGACUUACUUAAAGGGAUAUUGUACUAAAAUAAUUAUCUUAUCUAUAUGAAGGCCAUUCUUUUAACCUACUGACCUGACAUUUUUCCCUGUAUAAAUGAAGUAAAACCUGUUAAAACUGAAAGUAAACUACUGGUAUCAGUUGUGCAUUUCCUACUAAUAAGCAUUGGCUUUUAGGUACUUCUAGAUAAUACUAAAUGAGCAUUAGUAAGAAGGUGCUAUCAGCCAAUGAGCAUUCACAGGAUGUUCCUAACAGCCAUUCAACAUUAAUAGGAAGUAGCUAUCAUCCAAUGAGGAUUAGUAGGAAGUACAAAACUGAUACUGUUGUAUUACUUAUAUGAUAGAUAGAUGUAGAAAAGUGACUUUUUUGGCACAAUGUCCCUUUAAAGGGGCAUCAUAUAUUUUGACCAUGAACUGCUCCAUGUUUAUAAUGCAGUUUUUCUGAUAUACUGGCCCAUAAAAAUCCUUGGCAGGAGUGAGGUGAGAAAGAGGGUGCAGGGUACAAAGUAGCUUUCUCUGGUGAAUGUAGAUUACGUAAUUUUAAAUGUAAAGCUGAGUAAGACAUUAUUUUUAUAUAUCAAAAAAUAUUUUUUACCAUAUAUUAUGGAUAUGUUGAAUAUUUUACGCUAUGUAGCAUUUCAAGUACUUUAGUUAUAAAUGAUUAAUAUUUAAUCUUUAAAUGUCUAUCUUGCUCAUUAUUUAGCAAAAUAUCCAUAUCCAUUUAUCAUGUUGUAUUUAUGAUGCAGUGUAUUUAUUGUUUGAGUGAUUUUUUUUCUCUCUAUAUAUAAAAAUGAAAGUAAAACAUAUGCUUUUAAAAUGA